RNAcentral lists this ribosomal RNA (253 nucleotides) under uncultured bacterium. Its description in RNAcentral is "partial 16S ribosomal RNA". It matches the Rfam family "Bacterial small subunit ribosomal RNA", at positions 524 to 776 of the family's 1533-position model. The record is from RNAcentral. RNAcentral also lists the same sequence under 2 other names.
UACGGAGGGUGCAAGCGUUAUCCGGAUUCACUGGGUUUAAAGGGUGCGUAGGAGGGUUGGUAAGUCAGUGGUGAAAUCUCCGAGCUUAACUUGGAAACUGCCGUUGAUACUAUCAAUCUUGAAUAUCGUGGAGGUGAGCGGAAUAUGUCAUGUAGCGGUGAAAUGCUUAGAUAUGACAUAGAACACCAAUUGCGAAGGCAGCUCGCUACACGAAUAUUGACUCUGAGGCACGAAAGCGUGGGGAUCAAACAGG